UAAUACGGAGGGUGCAAGCGUUAUCCGGAUUCACUGGGUUUAAAGGGUGUGUAGGCGGGCAAUUAAGUCAGUGGUGAAAUCUCCAGGCUCAACCUGGAAACUGCCAAUGAUACUAUUUGUCUUGAAUACUGUUGAGGUGGGCGGAAUAUGUCAUGUAGCGGUGAAAUGCAUAGAUAUGACAUAGAACACCAAUUGCGAAGGCAGCUCACUAAGCAGGCAUUGACGCUGAGGCACGAAAGCGUGGGGAUCAAACAGGAUUAGAUACCCUGGUAGUCCACGCCCUAAACGAUGAUUACUCGACAUACGCGAUACACAGUGUGUGUCUGAGCGAAAGCAUUAAGUAAUCCACCUGGGAAGUACGACCGCAAGGUUG
RNAcentral lists this ribosomal RNA (373 nucleotides) under uncultured bacterium. Its description in RNAcentral is "bacterial SSU rRNA". It matches the Rfam family "Bacterial small subunit ribosomal RNA", at positions 521 to 896 of the family's 1533-position model. The record is from RNAcentral.